Molecule: non-coding RNA, 799 nt
Organism: Bactrocera oleae (olive fruit fly)
Lineage: Eukaryota; Metazoa; Arthropoda; Insecta; Diptera; Tephritidae
Source: RefSeq, a predicted model, not a curated record
AAAAGGUGGAACAAGUGUGAAAAUUUGUUGCACUUGUUAAAAUGCGGUUAAAAAGUUGCGACAUUUACGAGUAGUCAUUUCUCAUGUAGGCUUGUGGGAAUGCAUGUCAAACAAGCAGGUGUAGCGAAAGAAAGCUGAAAAGAAGAGUAAGGUGCACAAAUAAUUAAAUUAAAUGCAGUUUUCACCGCCGCAAAUCAACUUUAGAAAGUUUUGUGCAAUAAUUUAAAAUAAAGUAAAAUAAAAAAAAAACAAGACAACACGUUAACUUUGGCUGCACCGAAGGUAUAAUACCGUUCACAGGUGGAUAUUUUGUAGCUUAAAAUGAAUUGAUUCUUCGUGGGAUAACGCUUCACAAAAUAAAACAAUGAUUGGAUAACAAUUUUCGUUUUUGACAGUUUGAUCGAUGAUUCAUGACUCCGAUGCGAGGAAACUUUGACAUCGUAAACAAGAAGUGAACAAAAAAGAAUAGAGGAAACUUGGAGCAUCAACUAAGAUGAAUUUAUCAGCACUUUCUCUUACAUGCGAGUAUAAUGGAUGAGCAUGUAGAGCAAUACCGUCUAACGGUAUUAGGUUUGUCGGGUUAUAAAGGCGGCACGCAAACGACAGCCGGGCGGAGAUGCUUUGAAUAAAAAAUGAUUAUCGCACGUGAGUGUUCGAGAGAUAACAGGAUAAUACAUGCUCAUGUACAUACGUACGCGUGUGAAAUUAGGAAAGUGCAUGUAAAGUGAAGAAAUUUUUAAAUCAACGUUAGCAAACGAAUAGCUGAUUAUUGAACGAACUUACUAGGUUAAAAUGCUAG